GAUGAAGAACGUAGCGAAAUGCGAUACGUAAUGUGAAUUGCAAAUUCAGUGAAUCAUCGAGUCUUUGAACGCACAUUGCGCCCUCUGGUAUUCCGGAGGGCAUGCCUGUCUGAGCGUCAUUGUCAACCCUCAAGCUCAGCUUGCUGUUGGGUCCCCGUCGUUGCUUUACCGGCGGACCCCAAAGAUAAUGGCAGAGUCCGUGAGACCCUGGAUGCAGCGAGCUUCUAGCACGCGUCUGGACGGUUUUCGGGCUUGGUCUUAACCAGAUGAUAACCUCUGAUUGACCUCAGAUCAGGUAGGGAUACCCGCUGAACUUAAGCAUAUCAAUAAGCGGAGGA
RNAcentral lists this unclassified non-coding RNA (338 nucleotides) under soil metagenome. RNAcentral describes it as "partial contains 5.8S ribosomal RNA, internal transcribed spacer 2, and large subunit ribosomal RNA". The stretch from base 1 to 119 matches the Rfam family "5.8S ribosomal RNA", at positions 35 to 154 of the family's 154-position model. The record is from RNAcentral.